GUUAUAUGGUCAAGUGAAGAAGCGCAUACGGUGGAUGCCUUGGCAGUCAGAGGCGAUGAAAGACGUGGUAGCCUGCGAAAAGCUUCGGGGAGUCGGCAAACAGACUUUGAUCCGGAGAUGUCUGAAUGGGGGAACCCAGCCAUCAUAAGAUGGUUAUCUUGUACUGAAUACAUAGGUGCAAGAGGCGAACCAGGGGAACUGAAACAUCUAAGUACCCUGAGGAAAAGAAAUCAACCGAGAUUCCCUUAGUAGUGGCGAGCGAACGGGGACUAGCCCUUAAGUGGCUUUGAGAUUAGCGGAACGCUCUGGAAAGUGCGGCCAUAGUGGGUGAUAGCCCUGUACGCGAAAAUCUCUUGGUCAUGAAAUCGAGUAGGACGGAGCACGAGAAACUUUGUCUGAAUAUGGGGGGACCAUCCUCCAAGGCUAAAUACUACUGACUGACCGAUAGUGAACUAGUACCGUGAGGGAAAGGCGAAAAGAACCCCGGAGAGGGGAGUGAAAUAGAUCCUGAAACCGUAUGCGUACAAGCAGUGGGAGCCCACUUUGUUGGGUGACUGCGUACCUUUUGUAUAAUGGGUCAGCGACUUAUUUUCAGUGGCGAGCUUAACCGAAUAGGGGAGGCGUAGCGAAAGCGAGUCUUAAUAGGGCGUCUAGUCGCUGGGAAUAGACCCGAAACCGGGCGAUCUAUCCAUGGGCAGGUUGAAGGUUAGGUAACACUGACUGGAGGACCGAACCGACUACCGUUGAAAAGUUAGCGGAUGACCUGUGGAUCGGAGUGAAAGGCUAAUCAAGCUCGGAGAUAGCUGGUUCUCCUCGAAAGCUAUUUAGGUAGCGCCUCAUGUAUCACUGUAGGGGGUAGAGCACUGUUUCGGCUAGGGGGUCAUCCCGACUUACCAAACCGAUGCAAACUCCGAAUACCUACAAGUGCCGAGCAUGGGAGACACACGGCGGGUGCUAACGUCCGUCGUGAAAAGGGAAACAACCCAGACCGUCAGCUAAGGUCCCAAAGUUAUGGUUAAGUGGGAAACGAUGUGGGAAGGCUUAGACAGCUAGGAGGUUGGCUUAGAAGCAGCCACCCUUUAAAGAAAGCGUAAUAGCUCACUAGUCGAGUCGGCCUGCGCGGAAGAUGUAACGGGGCUCAAACCAUACACCGAAGCUACGGGUAUCACGUAAGUGAUGCGGUAGAGGAGCGUUCUGUAAGCCUGUGAAGGUGAGUUGAGAAGCUUGCUGGAGGUAUCAGAAGUGCGAAUGCUGACAUGAGUAACGACAAUGGGUGUGAAAAACACCCACGCCGAAAGACCAAGGUUUCCUGCGCAACGUUAAUCGACGCAGGGUUAGUCGGUCCCUAAGGCGAGGCUGAAAAGCGUAGUCGAUGGAAAACAGGUUAAUAUUCCUGUACUUCUGGUUAUUGCGAUGGAGGGACGGAGAAGGCUAGGCCAGCUUGGCGUUGGUUGUCCAAGUUUAAGGUGGUAGGCUGAGAUCUUAGGUAAAUCCGGGAUCUUAAGGCCGAGAGCUGAUGACGAGUUACCCUUUGGGUGACGAAGUGGUUGAUGCCAUGCUUCCAAGAAAAGCUUCUAAGCUUCAGGUAACCAGGAACCGUACCCCAAACCGACACAGGUGGUUGGGUAGAGAAUACCAAGGCGCUUGAGAGAACUCGGGUGAAGGAACUAGGCAAAAUGGCACCGUAACUUCGGGAGAAGGUGCGCCGGUGAGGGUGAAGGACUUGCUCCGUAAGCUCAUGCCGGUCGAAGAUACCAGGCCGCUGCGACUGUUUAUUAAAAACACAGCACUCUGCAAACACGAAAGUGGACGUAUAGGGUGUGACGCCUGCCCGGUGCCGGAAGGUUAAUUGAUGGGGUUAGCUAACGCGAAGCUCUUGAUCGAAGCCCCGGUAAACGGCGGCCGUAACUAUAACGGUCCUAAGGUAGCGAAAUUCCUUGUCGGGUAAGUUCCGACCUGCACGAAUGGCGUAACGAUGGCGGCGCUGUCUCCACCCGAGACUCAGUGAAAUUGAAAUCGCUGUGAAGAUGCAGUGUAUCCGCGGCUAGACGGAAAGACCCCGUGAACCUUUACUAUAGCUUUGCACUGGACUUUGAAUUUGCUUGUGUAGGAUAGGUGGGAGGCUUUGAAGCGUGGACGCCAGUUCGCGUGGAGCCAUCCUUGAAAUACCACCCUGGCAACUUUGAGGUUCUAACUCAGGUCCGUUAUCCGGAUCGAGGACAGUGUAUGGUGGGUAGUUUGACUGGGGCGGUCUCCUCCUAAAGAGUAACGGAGGAGUACGAAGGUGCGCUCAGACCGGUCGGAAAUCGGUCGUAGAGUAUAAAGGCAAAAGCGCGCUUGACUGCGAGACAGACACGUCGAGCAGGUACGAAAGUAGGUCUUAGUGAUCCGGUGGUUCUGUAUGGAAGGGCCAUCGCUCAACGGAUAAAAGGUACUCCGGGGAUAACAGGCUGAUACCGCCCAAGAGUUCAUAUCGACGGCGGUGUUUGGCACCUCGAUGUCGGCUCAUCACAUCCUGGGGCUGAAGCCGGUCCCAAGGGUAUGGCUGUUCGCCAUUUAAAGUGGUACGCGAGCUGGGUUUAGAACGUCGUGAGACAGUUCGGUCCCUAUCUGCCGUGGACGUUUGAGAUUUGAGAGGGGCUGCUCCUAGUACGAGAGGACCGGAGUGGACGAACCUCUGGUGUUCCGGUUGUCACGCCAGUGGCAUUGCCGGGUAGCUAUGUUCGGGAAAGAUAACCGCUGAAAGCAUCUAAGCGGGAAACUUGCCUCAAGAUGAGAUCUCACUGGAACCUUGAGUUCCCUGAAGGGCCGUCGAAGACUACGACGUUGAUAGGUUGGGUGUGUAAGCGCUGUGAGGCGUUGAGCUAACCAAUACUAAUUGCCCGUGAGGCUUGACCAUAUAACACCCAAGCAAUU
Molecule: ribosomal RNA, 2916 nt
Filed under: Pseudomonas sp. MWU12-2115
Lineage: Bacteria; Pseudomonadati; Pseudomonadota; Gammaproteobacteria; Pseudomonadales; Pseudomonadaceae
Description: bacterial LSU rRNA
Rfam family: Bacterial large subunit ribosomal RNA
Source: RNAcentral